AUUGAACGCUGGCGGCAUGCCUUACACAUGCAAGUCGAACGGUAACAGGUUAAGCUGACGAGUGGCGAACGGGUGAGUAAUGUAUCGGAACGUGCCCAGUCGUGGGGGAUAACUGCUCGAAAGAGCAGCUAAUACCGCAUACGACCUGAGGGUGAAAGCGGGGGAUCGCAAGACCUCGCGCGAUUGGAGCGGCCGAUAUCAGAUUAGGUAGUUGGUGAGGUAAAGGCUCACCAAGCCGACGAUCUGUAGCUGGUCUGAGAGGACGACCAGCCACACUGGGACUGAGACACGGCCCAGACUCCUACGGGAGGCAGCAGUGGGGAAUUUUGGACAAUGGGCGCAAGCCUGAUCCAGCCAUGCCGCGUGCGGGAAGAAGGCCUUCGGGUUGUAAACCGCUUUUGUCAGGGAAGAAAAGGUUCUGGCUAAUACCUGGGACUCAUGACGGUACCUGAAGAAUAGGCACCGGCUAACUACGUG
RNAcentral lists this ribosomal RNA (477 nucleotides) under uncultured bacterium. Its description in RNAcentral is "partial 16S ribosomal RNA". It matches the Rfam family "Bacterial small subunit ribosomal RNA", at positions 30 to 507 of the family's 1533-position model. The record is from RNAcentral.